CUCCUACGGGGGUGCAGCAGUGGGGAAUAUUGCACAAUGGGCGCAAGCCUGAUGCAGCCAUGCCGCGUGUGUGAAGAAGGCCUUAGGGUUGUAAAGCACUUUCAGUAGGGAGGAAAGUUGGUAGGUUAAUACCUUUAGCAUGUGACGUUACCCACAGAAGAAGCACCGGCUAACUCCGUGCCAGCAGCCGCGGUAAUACGGAGGGUGCGAGCGUUAAUCGGAAUUACUGGGCGUAAAGCGCGUGUAGGCGGCCA
This 254-nucleotide ribosomal RNA is filed under the name uncultured Oceanospirillum sp. RNAcentral's name for it is "partial 16S ribosomal RNA". It matches the Rfam family "Bacterial small subunit ribosomal RNA", at positions 336 to 581 of the family's 1533-position model. The record is from RNAcentral. Lineage: Bacteria; Pseudomonadati; Pseudomonadota; Gammaproteobacteria; Oceanospirillales; Oceanospirillaceae.